UGUAAUCAUCUCCUCACAUCUCAGUGUGAAAAAUAAUUUGGAGAAAAAAACAAAAGUUGAAAGACUCUGGAAUUAUAACAUGGAAAUAAUGAAUUUCUGACUGCAAUUGGUGUCCAAAAAGCUAAGAACCAAGUUUCCCUUAAGUAAUUAGCUCCAUAUUCAAAAGAAUUAAAGUGUAUGUACCAG
RNAcentral lists this long non-coding RNA (186 nucleotides) under Macaca mulatta (Rhesus monkey). RNAcentral describes it as "lncRNA (ENSMMUG00000064178.1)". The record is from RNAcentral. Lineage: Eukaryota; Metazoa; Chordata; Mammalia; Primates; Cercopithecidae.